This 133-nucleotide small nucleolar RNA is filed under the name Carlito syrichta (Philippine tarsier). RNAcentral describes it as "Small nucleolar RNA SNORA68 (ENSTSYG00000020140.2)". It matches the Rfam family "Small nucleolar RNA SNORA68". From Rfam's summary of the family: U68 is a member of the H/ACA class of small nucleolar RNAs (snoRNAs) which act as guides in the the modification of uridines to pseudouridines. The record is from Rfam by way of RNAcentral. Lineage: Eukaryota; Metazoa; Chordata; Mammalia; Primates; Tarsiidae.
UAGGCUCCUCAACCCAAGAACUGCUGUUUCCUGUAACAGUGGUUUCAACAGGGGUGCACACAGCAAGUGGAUCUCGUCGCCUUUGGGGGACCAGGGCUGUGCCCCUCCAAGUGAAUUCAGAGGUUCCACAUCC